AAGAUAAACACUAACAGGCUCCUUGUUUCCUAAGCACCUACUUUGUGCCAGGUGCUGUGUGGCAUCUGACAGGCUUUGAGGUCAGUCCUCUUUAUGAUCCCUGUGUCACAAAGGUUCAGGGAAGCAGUGGGGCAAGGCCAGGGGAGCACAGAAGUCAGCGGGAUCUGAACAUGUCCCUGCCGCCUUCACAUCACCUCUGAUCACAUCUCCUCCGGUGAUGCUGGGGGUCUUGUCUCUGGGGUGACUGGGAAGUUGAGAGCUUCAGUUUUUCCUGACAGCUUUCCAGAAUCCGAUGGCCCCUCCAGUGUCCUGCACAGGUAGUUUUAGGCAAAUCAGUGUAGGAAGAGGUAUCUUCCCUACAAAGGCAACGAGCAACUCUGUGUCCCCCACCAG
RNAcentral lists this long non-coding RNA (393 nucleotides) under Fukomys damarensis (Damara mole-rat). RNAcentral's name for it is "lncRNA (ENSFDAG00000022656.1)". Lineage: Eukaryota; Metazoa; Chordata; Mammalia; Rodentia; Bathyergidae. The record is from RNAcentral.